CUCAGAAUGAACGCUGGCGGCAUGGCUAAGACAUGCAAGUCGAACGGACCAUAUAAUUGGGUAACCGAAAGUAUGGUUAGUGGCGAAAGGGUGAGGAAUAGAUAGGAACGUACCCUGUGCUCUGGGAUAGCGUCUGAAGCUUCGGCUUCUUCCGAAAGGGGCGGUAAUACCAGAUAAUGUCCUUCGGGACCAAAGAUUUAUCGGCAUUGGAGCGGCCUAUCUCCUAUCAGCUUGUUGGUGAGGUAACGGCUCACCAAGGCAACGACGGGUAGCGGGACUGAGAGGUUGGCCCGCCACAUCGGGACUGAGACACUGCCCGGACCUCCACGGAGGGCUGCAGUAACGGAUAUUGGGCAAUGGGCGAAAGCCUGACCCAGCAAUGCCGCGUGCAGGAUGAAGCCCCUAGGGGUGUAAACUGCUGUCAGGGGUCAGAAAGCUGGUUUCGGCCAGUUGAUCAACCCCAGAGGAAGUCACGGCUAACUUCGUGCCAGCAGCCGCGGUAAUACGAAGGUGGCAAGCGUUAUUCGGAAUCAUUGGGCUUAAAGGGCACGCAGGCGGAACAGUGUGUGUUGUGUGAAAUCCCCCGGCUUAACCGGGGAAUUGCACAGCAAACUGCUGUUCUUGAGGCAGGUAGGGGUGCAUGGAACUCUUGGUGGAGCGGUGGAAUGCGUAGAUAUCAAGAGGAACGCCAGAGGUGAAGACGGUGCACUGGGCCUGUCCUGACGCUGAGGUGCGAAAGCGUGGGGAGCGAACGGGAUUAGAUAC
RNAcentral lists this ribosomal RNA (765 nucleotides) under uncultured organism. Its description in RNAcentral is "bacterial SSU rRNA". It matches the Rfam family "Bacterial small subunit ribosomal RNA", at positions 23 to 785 of the family's 1533-position model. The record is from RNAcentral.